Molecule: transfer RNA, 71 nt
Filed under: Loxodonta africana (African savanna elephant)
Lineage: Eukaryota; Metazoa; Chordata; Mammalia; Proboscidea; Elephantidae
Rfam family: tRNA
About the family: Transfer RNA (tRNA) molecules are approximately 80 nucleotides in length. Their secondary structure includes four short double-helical elements and three loops (D, anti-codon, and T loops). Further hydrogen bonds mediate the characteristic L-shaped molecular structure. tRNAs have two regions of fundamental functional importance: the anti-codon, which is responsible for specific mRNA codon recognition, and the 3' end, to which the tRNAs corresponding amino acid is attached (by aminoacyl-tRNA synthetases). tRNAs cope with the degeneracy of the genetic code in two manners: having more than one tRNA (with a specific anti-codon) for a particular amino acid; and 'wobble' base-pairing, i.e. permitting non-standard base-pairing at the 3rd anti-codon position.
Source: Rfam by way of RNAcentral
GCAGUGGUGGUUCAGGGGUAGAAUUCUUGCCUUCCAUGCAGGAGACCCAGGUUCAACUGCUGGCCAACGUA